AGAGGUGGCAAGCGUUGUUCGGAAUUACUGGGCGUAAAGGGCGCGUAGGCGGUCCGAUAAGUCCCACGUGAAAUCCCCCGGCUCAACUGGGGAACUGCGCGGGAAACUGACGGACUUGAGUUCGGGAGAGGGAAGCGGAAUUCCGGGUGUAGCGGUGAAAUGCGUAGAUAUCCGGAGGAACACCGGUGGCGAAGGCGGCUUCCUGGACCGACACUGACGCUGAGGCGCGAAAGCUAGGGGAGCAAACGGGAUUAGAUACCCCGGUAGUCCUAGCUGUAAACGAUGAGUGCUGGGUGUAGGGGGUGUUAACCCCUCCUGUGCCGAAGCUAACGCAUUAAGCACCCCGCCUGGGGAGUACGGUCGCAAGGCUG
This 371-nucleotide ribosomal RNA is filed under the name uncultured bacterium. Its description in RNAcentral is "bacterial SSU rRNA". It matches the Rfam family "Bacterial small subunit ribosomal RNA", at positions 527 to 896 of the family's 1533-position model. The record is from RNAcentral.